RNAcentral lists this ribosomal RNA (497 nucleotides) under uncultured bacterium. RNAcentral's name for it is "partial 16S ribosomal RNA". It matches the Rfam family "Bacterial small subunit ribosomal RNA", at positions 28 to 507 of the family's 1533-position model. The record is from RNAcentral.
GAUGAACGCUGGCGGCGUGCCUAAUACAUGCAAGUCGAGCGAACGGACGAGAAGCUUGCGUCGCUGAUGUUAGCGGCGGACGGGUGAGUAACACGUGGAUAACCUACCUAUAAGACUGGGAUAACUUCGGGAAACCGGAGCUAAUACCGGAUAAUAUUUUGAACCGCAUGGUUCAAAAGUGAAAGACGGUGUUGCUGUCACUUAUAGAUGGAUCCGCGCUGCAUUAGCUAGUUGGUAAGGUAACGGCUUACCAAGGCAACGAUGCAUAGCCGACCUGAGAGGCUGAUCGGCCACACUGGAGCGGAGACACGGUCCAGACUCCUACGGGAGGCAGCAGUCGGGAAUCUUCCGCAAUGGUCGAAAGCCUGACGCAGCAACGCCGCGCGAGUUAUGAAGGUCUUCGGAUCGUAAAACUCUGUUAUUAGGGAAGAACAUAUGUGUAAGUAACUGUGCACAUCUUGACGGUACCUAAUCAGAAAGCCACGGCUAACUACGUG